UACGUAGGGUGCGAGCGUUAAUCGGAAUUACUGGGCGUAAAGCGGGCGCAGACGGUUACUUAAGCAGGAUGUGAAAUCCCCGGGCUCAACCUGGGAACUGCGUUCUGAACUGGGUGACUAGAGUGUGUCAGAGGGAGGUAGAAUUCCACGUGUAGCAGUGAAAUGCGUAGAGAUGUGGAGGAAUACCGAUGGCGAAGGCAGCCUCCUGGGAUAACACUGACGUUCAUGCCCGAAAGCGUGGGUAGCAAACAGG
This 253-nucleotide ribosomal RNA is filed under the name Neisseria macacae. RNAcentral describes it as "partial 16S ribosomal RNA". It matches the Rfam family "Bacterial small subunit ribosomal RNA", at positions 524 to 776 of the family's 1533-position model. RNAcentral also lists the same sequence under 2 other names. The record is from RNAcentral. Lineage: Bacteria; Pseudomonadati; Pseudomonadota; Betaproteobacteria; Neisseriales; Neisseriaceae.